GAGUUUGAUCAUGGCUCAGGAUGAACGCUAGCGGCAGGCCUAAUACAUGCAAGUCGAGGGGCAGCACGGUAGCAAUACUGGUGGCGACCGGCGCACGGGUGCGUAACACGUAUACAAUCUGCCUUUAACAGGGGGAUAGCCCGGAGAAAUCCGGAUUAAUACCCCAUAAUAAUUUGAAUGGCAUCAUUUGAAUUUGAAAGUUCCGACGGUUAAAGAUGAGUAUGCGCCUGAUUAGCUAGUUGGUGAGGUAACGGCUCACCAAGGCGACGAUCAGUAGGGGAUCUGAGAGGAUUAACCCCCACACGGAUACUGAGACACGGAUCCGACCCCUACGGGAGGCAGCAGUAAGGAAUAUUGGACAAUGCCCGCAAGGGUGAUCCAGCCAUGCCGCGUGCAGGAAGACGGCCCUAUGGGUUAGUAAACUGCUUUUACACCGGAGAAAACCUCCCUUCGUGAAGGGAGCUGAUAGUAUGGUGAGAAUAAGCAUCGGCUAACUUCGU
Molecule: ribosomal RNA, 500 nt
Filed under: uncultured Sphingobacterium sp.
Lineage: Bacteria; Pseudomonadati; Bacteroidota; Sphingobacteriia; Sphingobacteriales; Sphingobacteriaceae
Description: bacterial SSU rRNA
Rfam family: Bacterial small subunit ribosomal RNA
Source: RNAcentral